Sinocyclocheilus anshuiensis is the source of this 903-nucleotide long non-coding RNA. RefSeq lists it as uncharacterized. The record is from RefSeq and is a predicted model, not a curated record. Lineage: Eukaryota; Metazoa; Chordata; Actinopteri; Cypriniformes; Cyprinidae. The transcript is spliced from 3 exons.
GUGACGCAGCAUUUGAUUCUGUUUCCACGGUGGGUCGAAACUGGAAAAGUAACUGGCAAUAUCUUGUCUGAAAUCAACAGGACAUGACUUGGCGACAUAUAGACGAGAGGCUAUUGAGUUGCUAGACUACUUGUGCUGUAACCCGGGCAAUGAGACAGAGAGCAAUGCUCAGCAGUUCAGCUGGAAUCCUAAACACAUUGCAAAGAUUUGCUGUCAUACUUGGGGAAAAUGAAUUCUGUUGACAUAUGGCUGAAAACAAUGGUGGAAAGGCAUGCAACGUAAGGCAAUGAAGAAUCAUGCGGUGUUGUGGAGGAGAGGAUCUGGAGCUGUUCCUUUGAGCCCUCUAUGACAGGUAUACAGAGCCACCUGACAGCACAGUAUUUCAGUGAUAAAUGCAGUGGGUCUGGGACUUUCAUUCACUAAACUCAGGAGUGUGCUGGGCUGAUACUUCAAGGUCAAGUGAAUAUGAAAGAGCUGUACCACACAGCCUGCUAAAAAGAACGAGGGAGCAAGCGCCUCUUGUCUGCUUCCUAACUUCGACAACUUCUAAAUGUUAUGUUGUUUAAAUUCAUGUGAUGUGCUUAUAAACACAGAUGUUGUGUUACAGCGUCGUUUCGUGAUUUUUGGAUGUUUGUGAUUUAAAAAAUUCAUAAUCUGUCAGUAUAAACCCAUGCUAUAUUCAAUCUAGUUCAUUUACACACUGAUAAUAAAAACGACAGCGACUAUAUAAAUGAAGGUGAAACACACACACACACACGCACUCAGUCGCAGCCAAAACAAUUGAAUUACAGUGCUUGUGGCAUGUUGUCUUACUCUGUGAUAUGUGUGAAAUGGUUAAUUAAAGGUGAGCUCAUUAUUCUUGCUCAGGAUCCAGUAACUGUGUUAACAUGAUCCAUGACUAAU